GCUCAGCUAAAAGCAUCUUAUCUGUAUUUGUUUUAAUUUUUUAUUUUUGGGAAAAGCGCCUUUAGGAAGCAUGCGCCUACCCAUCUUUAUUGGUUAUUGUGAAAGAAAACUCUCGUGACUUAUAUCCAGACUGUCGAUAGGGCUCAAUGAAGCACCCAAGUCUCUAUAUAAGAAACUCAGAUGUCUCUCAUUAGGUAGUAGUUAGAAAGAGAGAGAGAAACUUAUUUAUUGCUUUGUAAUUUCAUUCAAAGUUAUAAAAACUUAGCCUUUGUUCUUCAAAUCUUUACUUUUGUUCUUCAAAUCUUUGCCUUAGUUCUUCAAAUACUUUCUGGGCUUGAGAUAUAGAGAGAGAAGUAUAAGACCUCUACCUAAUAACCAUAGCCAAGAGAGGGUGUAUCGGCAAAGCAAAGGGAGCAUGCUCUCGCGAGAUUGAGACUCUCAUAUCUAGACGAUGACUUGGAGAACUUAGUCAUAAACUUAUCAGAUUAGCACAAAGGGUGAAAAUUGGCUCAACAGACACUACUAGAAGCUCAAAUCGUGAAGCUAUUUCUGAAGCGUUGAGGCGAAUUAAUUUUUUAGCCUAAAACGAUCCAAAUUAUGAAUAAAAGUACAUAAUACAAUUAAUUUUAAUUUUAUUCCAAUUUAUUUUGGGUUAAGUAAUUAUUAUUGAAUAUAUUAUGGAAAUGAGUCCGAGUUGUGCUAAUACGAAAGACUGAUCCAAAUGAGCAAUCGAGUUGCCCAAACCCAUCCAAAAUGCUGACCCAAUCAGCUCAAAUCAGCUUAUUUACUGACUUGCAAAUCAGCCCUUGAAGUCUCCUUGAAAUUGCAUUCAAACUCCUCCACUUAUUAUGCUUUUGUAGAUUUGCCCCUAGCCAAAUAUAACAAGUUGAAAUCAUUAACAAAUGCAUGAGUGGUGGCCAGCCAUGGGGGAUUUAAUGGCUGAUAUUUCUUUGCUAAAAUUAGUAGCCAACCCACCUAUAAAUACCUCCCUUUGUUACUCAUUUCAGAACUCAACUCAACUCAACUCAAUUCAUUCACAACACAUUCUCUAUUUACUCAAUUUUCUCCCUUUGUUUUCCAUUUUCUUUCUUGUCCCUUCCUUUGCCGAUUUGUCCUCUUGAGAAAGAUAUUUCUUCCACCUUGGAGUAGUAGCACUCAAGUAUUCAUAGAGGUCUCGAAUUAACAGAACGAGCAAAGAAGAAAAGGAGCGUGUUAGUGACUUCAGAGAGACACUGAAUUUUUUUCUAGUUCCCUACUCUUUUAUUUUCUUGACUCUGUUAUGAUGAAUGCUCAUCAUUUCGUUACUCUUGAUUUAAUUAAAAUGGCUUAAAUUUAAUUCGUGUUA
Molecule: long non-coding RNA, 1345 nt
Organism: Gossypium raimondii (Peruvian cotton)
Lineage: Eukaryota; Viridiplantae; Streptophyta; Magnoliopsida; Malvales; Malvaceae
Exons: 2
Source: RefSeq, a predicted model, not a curated record